CGUGAUGCCUAGGUAAAUUAUUCUUAGGUCAUGAUCCUGUCACCUUAGGUCGAUCGGUACCUCAGAUUAAGAAUCAAAAAAGAGCUAAUUAACAAUUAGUCUCGCUAUUUGUACUUGGUUUCAGUUCCUAAACUUGUCUAGGUCACACCCCGCAAGUGUUACUCCUGGGCCAUUAGCUCAGGUGGUUAGAGCGCACCCCUGAUAAGGGUGAGGUCCCUGGUUCAAGUCCAGGAUGGCCCAUUCGGUGUUGGGGGUUUAGCUCAGUUGGUAGAGCGCCUGCUUUGCAAGCAGGAUGUCAGCGGUUCGAGUCCGCUAACCUCCACUGGCCAACCUCCCGCAGCGAGCCAAUUUGAGGAUCAUUGCGAGGCUGUGAUUUGGAUUAUUCCGCUGAAGGAACCUAGCUUCCUAUCAUUCCAAAUUUAGUAAUAUUUUUGGUUGACAGGAUGCUGGGCUCAUUGUAUUUCAAAUUGAAAUACAACGAUGAUCAGCAGAACCUUGACAACUGCAUAGGUAAGUCUGGAAAAGAAUAAAGCAUCUCAUGAUGCAUUUUUCUCUAGAUAAGAAAUAUUGUUUUCUAUUUAAAGUGGAAUUCAAUAUUGAUUUUCUUUAGAAACAUGUUUAAUUCUUGAGCAAGAGUCGAGACUCUGUAAUU
This 652-nucleotide transfer RNA is filed under the name uncultured Prochlorococcus sp. Its description in RNAcentral is "partial 16S-23S ribosomal RNA intergenic spacer". The stretch from base 250 to 322 matches the Rfam family "tRNA". Lineage: Bacteria; Bacillati; Cyanobacteriota; Cyanophyceae; Synechococcales; Prochlorococcaceae. The record is from RNAcentral.